UCCUCGCUCCUGCGGCCACGUUGGGUAUUUCUCUUUGAUCUCCAGUUCCCACCAUGCCCACGCGUUGUUGUGUCGUUGGUUGUGCGAGCAAAUCCCACGACCGCCAGGGUCAGAAGAUCCCAAACGGACUCUGUUUUUAUCGUUUUCCCGCCUGGAAGCGCCACCAAGGAGAGCAAGUUUCUGAACUGACUAAAUCUCGUCGCCUCGCUCGGGUCGCGGCUGUAAGACGAUCAAACAUCACCUUUCACAGCAUUCCGGAGUCGAUGAGAGUGUGUUCUCUGCAUUUUCAUUCUGGCAAACCGGCCGCUGAAAUGUACUCCUCUCACCCGACUGGGCGCCGUCGCUGCGGUUGGGCCACUCUGAGGUGAAAGCCACAGCGACUGAACGCUACGAGAGGCGGGAGAAGAGGAAGCGUCGAGGGAUGGAGGAGACCACACCACACAGUCUGUGGAUGACACGGAUGACCCUGUGCCACACGUGGAAACACCGGCAGCGGCAGCAGCAGACCGGGAGGACGGAGCUGGCCGGGGUCUGAGGGAAUGUGACUUUUGCCAGAUGCGGCGGGAUGAGAUUAACCGGCUGCUGGAGGAGAACCGGUCCCUGAAGUCUGAGCUUGGCCAGAAAAAAUGGGACGAAGAUUUCCUGAAGAAUGACACUGAAAAAGUGAAAUACUACACUGGGCCUUCACACCCGGAUAUUCUCAUGGAUCUUCUGGUUUCAGUUGGACCAUUCAUCACGCAGAGAAGCAAAGUGUUGUCUCAAUCACAUCAUCGAUGUUCUGCACGCACGCGUCACCCCUUCCAUCCACUGGCCGUCCCGAGAGGCGUUACAUGCUACGAUGCCGCAGCAGUUCGUGGAGGCGUUUGGGAAGCGCGUUGCUGUGAUUCUGGACUGCUUUGAAAUAAACACACAGAAACCAUCCAAGCCCACGGCGCAGGCCGCAGCACAUCCCCACCACAAACACAACGCUACUAGGAAGUACCUCGUUGGCAUCACACCCGGCGGCGCAGUUUCUUUCAUCUCCAAGGGGUGGGGGGGGAAGUGAGAGCGAUAAACACAUAACCGAAGCGAGUGGCAUUCUGGAGAAGCUGUCACCUGGAGACGUGCUGCUGGCUGAUCGCGGCUUUGACAUCGACGACGGGGUGGGACUCGUUUGCGCGGAGGUAAAGGAUCCUGCCUUAACAGAAGGCCGCUGUCAGCUGGAUGCGAGAGAUCCGGAGAGCCUCAAAAAAACUGGCCACCAAUUGGAACGGUCAUCGGAGCCGUCAGCAACAAAUACACCAUGCUCUCUGCGAAGGCAACGAGUCAGAUGGUUCUGCCCAGCAAGGACGAGGAUGGGACGUUCCUCGAUAAGAUAUUUAGUGUGUGCUUCGCGCUGACAAACAUGAGCCCAGGUGUUGAGCUGAAAUAAACGCCUGUAAAGUGAAGCUGUAAGUAUCUGUGGUAU
Long non-coding RNA from Salarias fasciatus (jewelled blenny), 1447 nucleotides. RefSeq lists it as uncharacterized. NCBI's taxonomy places the organism in Eukaryota, Metazoa, Chordata, Actinopteri, Blenniiformes, Blenniidae. The record is from RefSeq and is a predicted model, not a curated record. The transcript is spliced from 3 exons.